GGGCCGCUAGCUCAUCAGGCAGAGCAACAGACUUUUAAUCUGUUGGUGCUGGGUUCGAGUCCCAGGCGGCUCACCA
RNAcentral lists this transfer RNA (76 nucleotides) under Chloroflexota bacterium. Its description in RNAcentral is "Chloroflexi bacterium (hot springs metagenome) tRNA-Lys". It matches the Rfam family "tRNA". From Rfam's summary of the family: Transfer RNA (tRNA) molecules are approximately 80 nucleotides in length. Their secondary structure includes four short double-helical elements and three loops (D, anti-codon, and T loops). Lineage: Bacteria; Bacillati; Chloroflexota. The record is from RNAcentral. RNAcentral also lists the same sequence under 1 other name.